AUUGAACGCUGGCGGCAAGCCUCAUACAUGCAAGUCGAACGAGAAAGCAUCUUCGGAUGUGAGUAAAGUGGCGGACGGGUGAGUAAUACAUAGGAAUCUACCCAAUGGCGGGGGACAGCUCGAGGAAACUCGAAUUAAUACCGCAUAAUCUCUACGGAGUAAAGGGGGCUUCGGCUCUCGCCAUCGGAUGAGCCUAUGCAGGAUUAGCUUGUUGGUGAGGUAAUGGCUCACCAAGGCGACGAUCCUUAGCUGGUUUGAGAGGAUGACCAGCCACAUCGGGACUGAGACACGGCCCGGACUUCUACGGAAGGCAGCAGUAGGGAAUAUUGGACAAUGAGCGAAAGCUUGAUCCAGCCAUGCCGCGUGUGCGAUGACGGCCUUAGGGUUGUAAAGCACUUUAGGUAACGAGGAAAAGUUAGGUGUUAAUACCAUCUAACCUUGACGUUAAUUACAGAAUAAGCACCGGCUAAAUCCGUGCCAGCAGCCGCGGUAACAC
Molecule: ribosomal RNA, 496 nt
Filed under: uncultured bacterium
Lineage: Bacteria
Description: bacterial SSU rRNA
Rfam family: Bacterial small subunit ribosomal RNA
Source: RNAcentral